AGUUAAAAAGCUCGUAGUCGGAUUUCAGUAUUAGGCCCUUCUUCCAAUACGGUUGCUAGUGGUCUUUACUUCUUUAACAGAAUCUUUCAUCUCAUUAAUUUGGGGUGUUUGGGGCCUGUUUCUUUUACUUUGAGAAAAUUAGAGUGUUCAAAGCGGGUUUUCGCCUGGAUAUUACUCUUGGAAUAAUAAUAUAGGACUUUGGUUCUUUUUUGUUGGUGACUUAGAACCGAAGUAAUGAUUGAUAGGGACAGUUGGGGUCAUUCGUACUAUGAAGCGAGAGGUGAAAUUCAUGGACCUUUGUAUGACGAACUACUGCGAAAGCAUUUGACUAGGAUGUUCCUGUUGAUCAAGAACGAAAGUUGGGGGAUCGAAGACGAUCAGAUACCGUCGUAGUCUCAACCAUAAACUAUGCCAGCUAGGGAUUGGAGGAAGAUCAUUUUACGUCUCCUUCAGCACCUUAUGAGAAAUCAAAGCAUUUGGGUUCCGGGGGGAGUAUGGUCGCAAGGCUGAAACUUAAAGGAAUUGACGGGAGGGCACCACCAGGAGUGGAGCCUG
This 555-nucleotide ribosomal RNA is filed under the name uncultured marine eukaryote. RNAcentral describes it as "SSU rRNA". It matches the Rfam family "Eukaryotic small subunit ribosomal RNA", at positions 617 to 1185 of the family's 1831-position model. The record is from RNAcentral.